This 492-nucleotide ribosomal RNA is filed under the name uncultured bacterium. Its description in RNAcentral is "partial 16S ribosomal RNA". It matches the Rfam family "Bacterial small subunit ribosomal RNA", at positions 29 to 507 of the family's 1533-position model. The record is from RNAcentral.
AGUGAACGCUGGCGGUAGGCCUAACACAUGCAAGUCGAACGGCAGCACAGUAAGAGCUUGCUCUUACUGGUGGCGAGUGGCGGACGGGUGAGGAAUACAUCGGAAUCUACUUUUUCGUGGGGGAUAACGUAGGGAAACUUACGCUAAUACCGCAUACGACCUACGGGUGAAAGCAGGGGAUCUUCGGACCUUGCGCGAUUGAAUGAGCCGAUGUCGGAUUAGCUAGUUGGCGGGGUAAAGGCCCACCAAGGCGACGAUCCGUAGCUGGUCUGAGAGGAUGAUCGGCAACACUGGAACUGGGACACGGUCCAGACUCCUACGGGAGGCAGCAGUGGGGAAUAUUGGACAAUGGGCGCAAGCCUGAUCCAGCCAUACCGCGUGGGUGAAGAAGGCCUUCGGGUUUUAAAGCCCUUUUGUUGGGAAAGAAAAGCAGCAGGUUAAUACCCCGCUGUUCUGACGGUACCCAAAGAAUAAGCACCGGCUAACUUCGUG